Molecule: ribosomal RNA, 247 nt
Filed under: uncultured bacterium
Lineage: Bacteria
Description: partial 16S ribosomal RNA
Rfam family: Bacterial small subunit ribosomal RNA
Source: RNAcentral
AUACGUAGGUGGCAAGCGUUGUCCGGAUUUAUUGGGCGUAAAGCGAGCGCAGGCGGUUUUUUAAGUCUGAUGUGAAAGCCUUCGGCUUAACCGGAGAAGUGCAUCGGAAACUGGGAGACUUGAGUGCAGAAGAGGACAGUGGAACUCCAUGUGUAGCGGUGGAAUGCGUAGAUAUAUGGAAGAACACCAGUGACGAAGGCGGCUGUCUAGUCUGUAACUGACGCUGAGGCUCGAAGGCAUGGGUAGC